Molecule: transfer RNA, 94 nt
Filed under: Capsicum annuum
Lineage: Eukaryota; Viridiplantae; Streptophyta; Magnoliopsida; Solanales; Solanaceae
Rfam family: tRNA
About the family: Transfer RNA (tRNA) molecules are approximately 80 nucleotides in length. Their secondary structure includes four short double-helical elements and three loops (D, anti-codon, and T loops).
Source: Rfam by way of RNAcentral
CCGACCUUAGCUCAGUUGGUAGAGCGGAGGACUGUAGUUGGGUGUAAACCUUUCAGAUAUCCUUAGGUCGCUGGUUUGAACCCGGCAGGUCGGA